This is a long non-coding RNA of Hydra vulgaris (swiftwater hydra), 988 nucleotides long. RefSeq lists it as uncharacterized. The record is from RefSeq and is a predicted model, not a curated record. Lineage: Eukaryota; Metazoa; Cnidaria; Hydrozoa; Anthoathecata; Hydridae.
UACAUCGGUUGAACAUCGGCUACUCUGUUUUUAGCAAAACAAUAUCGGUGAAACGUUUUGUGUCUGUUGGCCGAUGAAUGGUCAAACAGACAUUCAGCCGACGUUCAGCCGAUGUUCAGCCAAUUUGGUUCUGUUUUUUAUUUGAAUGAUAAAAAACCGAAUAUGUUGAAUUUUAAAAGUGGCAGCAAAUCUAUCUAACUGAAGGCAAAAUUUUUUAAUGCAUAGGAAAGUUAAUUCGUUUACCUGUUAAAUUAAUAUUAUUUAAUAAUAUUAAUUGGUAUUUAUAAAUAAUAACAUUACUUUUUAUUUACAAAUAGUUAUUUGAAUUUUAUUUGAAUAGUUAUAUAAAUUUAUAAAUCAUUAAAGUUUAAGAUAUAAAAAUAUUAGAUAAUAAUAUCAAUAUACUAGGUAAACAGUAAUUUGUUUUGAUAACAGUUAAAAAAUACUUAAACUGUGAGCAUACAGUUUGUGAUUUAUGUUUAAUUAAAAAAUUGUUCAUUUUUAAGUUAAACAUUAAAUGAUAUUAAUUAGUUCAUUAACUCAAAACUUGUUAAAUAAGUAAACAAUUAUGAGUCUUUAACGAUUUUAAAUUACCUCAUUAAAUUUUAAAGAUUGAACAUAAAUUGUGAACAUCAUUCAGAUAGAAAUGUUAAAGAUAUAAAAGUUCAAUUCAAUACAAGUUACUAGUUAUAUAAACCAAUUCAAUAUUUUAAUGAUGGCAUCAAAUCGUUCUGAUAGGAGAAGAGCAAGUUAUGAAUUGUCAACUUUUUUUUCUUCAAUACGUGGGGCUGUUGAAUGCAAAGAAGUAAACAAUGAUUAAGAUACAAAUGAUUUUGGCAGUGCACAUCCUGAUUCAAAUUGCCCAAAUGCUACACACAGUGAAUUAUCGGUUAAAAAAAAAACUUUGGAAUUUCACCCGAUUCAAUUUAUUUGAUGAUUCAACUGAUUCAGAAUAAUUUAUUUAAAAGAAAUAUAUAAUUUUGUUUUA